GACGAACGCUGGCGGCGUGCUUAACACAUGCAAGUCGAACGGAAAGGCCCUGCUUUUGUGGGGUGCUCGAGUGGCGAACGGGUGAGUAACACGUGAGUAACCUGCCCUUGACUUUGGGAUAACUUCAGGAAACUGGGGCUAAUACCGGAUAGGAGCUCCUGCUGCAUGGUGGGGGUUGGAAAGUUUCGGCGGUUGGGGAUGGACUCGCGGCUUAUCAGCUUGUUGGUGGGGUAGUGGCUUACCAAGGCUUUGACGGGUAGCCGGCCUGAGAGGGGGACCGGCCACAUUGGGACUGAGAGACGGCCCAGACUCCUACGGGAGGCAGCAGUGGGGAAUAUUGCACAAUGGGCGGAAGCGUGAUGCAGCAACGCCGCGUGCGGGAUGACGGCCUUCGGGUUGUAAACCGCUUUCGCCUGUGACGAAGCGUGAGUGACGGUAAUGGGUAAAGAAGCACCGGCUAACUACGUG
RNAcentral lists this ribosomal RNA (468 nucleotides) under uncultured bacterium. RNAcentral describes it as "partial 16S ribosomal RNA". It matches the Rfam family "Bacterial small subunit ribosomal RNA", at positions 28 to 507 of the family's 1533-position model. The record is from RNAcentral.